This 259-nucleotide long non-coding RNA is filed under the name Linum usitatissimum (flax). RNAcentral describes it as "long non-coding RNA (LUSI_LNC004254)". The record is from RNAcentral. Lineage: Eukaryota; Viridiplantae; Streptophyta; Magnoliopsida; Malpighiales; Linaceae.
GGCACACUACAAGAAAGCAAAGAAUCUCCGCCACAAUUGCGCCACCAACGACACAACAAGUACAUUGCCGGGAAAGUUUGGACAUGACAGCUUCCGAAUCCACUUCAAUGUCCACGUGCCAGACUCCAUGAUGGAAGCACCAAUCACACGCAUCCCGGAUGACAAGGACCACCGGGCAAUAGGGGUCAAGGAACCCCGGAUACUUACUCCCAAUUUCCUAUAAGACCGUCCUAUCGACAUUACGAAUUACCAAACUCAC